GUGACAGAAGAGAGUGAGCACACAUGGUGGCUUUCUUGCAUAUUUGGAUGUUUCAUGCUUGAAGCUAUGUGUGCUCACUCUCUCUCCGUCAC
MicroRNA precursor from Arabis alpina (gray rockcress), 92 nucleotides. It matches the Rfam family "mir-156 microRNA precursor family". Rfam says of the family: This family represents the plant microRNA (miRNA) precursor mir-156. Animal miRNAs are transcribed as ~70nt precursors and subsequently processed by the Dicer enzyme to give a ~22nt product. Lineage: Eukaryota; Viridiplantae; Streptophyta; Magnoliopsida; Brassicales; Brassicaceae. The record is from Rfam.